This 1357-nucleotide long non-coding RNA is filed under the name Meleagris gallopavo (turkey). RNAcentral's name for it is "lncRNA (ENSMGAG00000018080.1)". The record is from RNAcentral. Lineage: Eukaryota; Metazoa; Chordata; Aves; Galliformes; Phasianidae.
UUCCUUUCUUUCCUUUCCAGAAAAACUGGCUACAUGAAGUCCCAUUCACUGACACAAGACCUUGAUUUUUUUUCCACCUUCAUAUGAACAAAUAUUUAACCACAAUCAGGCAGAGGUACAUGGGCAAACAAGUGAGGUGACCAUAAAAUACUGUACUUUUCCACAUUCACUGUAUAAAAAGCUACAGGAUGAAAAAAGUCAAGUUAAGUACAUAAAGGCAGAUAGAAGACGAUACAUUCUGCGCAAGAUAAUUCCUGUACUUCCACCAGAGUUUUGGAAUUUAAAUCUGUUAGACUAUGAUAUAUAAUUGAAUAAUCAGAACUACACAUUUGCAAGGUAGGAUUCACAGGAGGGAUUCUAUAUCUACAGCCAGAAAAUUCUUGCAGAAGACAGUUUCACAAAGACAGAUGAGAAUGUCUACUUGUAAGAUAAAAAAAGGAACUGCUGAGGCUUUUAAGGCUGCUUGAGACUUUAGCCUGUAUAAGGAAACAAAUCCACUGGUAAAUCCUUCUCUGAGCCAGUUCAUUACAAAUUGUGACUAACAGAAAGCAGGAAGUGCUAAGCAGGAGAUGCUUGUAAGGAGCUGGUCAAUAACAACAACAAAAUCAGUUAAACACAAUUUGAGGAAGAGAUUAUUGUGCAGCAGUUCUGGAGUCAUUAGAGUCUGAGAUCUCUAUUUGUUCUUUGAGAACGUUUAGCUCUAUUGUGCUACCCAGUGGCUGAAUUGGAAUCCCAUUGUACCCCAAAUAAGUAAAUAUACCUUACAAACUAAUUCAGUCAUGGUGAAAAGCUCUGAUUGAAGACAGCCAUUGACCUCAUGGCUCAUCCUAAAGUGUUUUCUCUACUUAAUCAAACUUAAAAGAGAUUUGGGAAUCCAGAAGAAUGACUGUCUGAUUGUAAGUAGGUAACACAAUAUUACCUAUUUACAGUAUUAUUGGUUGAAACCAAUGACUUGCAAAACAGAAUGUGUGGGCAAGUGACACAUCUUACUCUCAUCCUGUUCCCCAGGAGAAGCACGUGAGCAUGGCAAGAACCAGAAUACAAGCCAAAUUAGGAGAGAUUUCUUGGUCAGCUGAGGGCAGCAUCUCAUUUCAGAGGUGAGGGGAUCCUAAGAGAAGAAGAUAGACAACACAGGACUCACUAGAAACAGGUUUUCAAUGUUCAAGCAGAUUGAACUCACUCCAGAAAAGCUUUGCUCACAGAAAUGGCCUGAUACUAUUGCUUCAUGGUUUCGGUGUAACUGGUGUUGGUAGUCAAUAUAAUUUCAUAACUUCUUCCACAAGCUCUUUCUUCAUUUGUUUGUAUACAUUAUUUGAUGUAGGCCACCAGCCUAAGGUCUGCAUAGCAGGGUCUAGUU